UAACUGCGAGUGAAGCGGGAAAAGCUCAAAUUUAAAAUCUGGCGGUCCUUGGCUGUCCGAGUUGUAAUUUAGAGAAGCGUCUUCCGCGCCGGACCGUGCACAAGUCUCCUGGAAUGGAGCGUCGUAGAGGGUGAGAAUCCCGUCUUUGGCAUGGAUGCCCGGUGCUUCUGUGAUGCGCUCUCAAAGAGUCGAGUUGUUUGGGAAUGCAGCUCAAAAUGGGUGGUGAACUCCAUCUAAAGCUAAAUAUUGGCGAGAGACCGAUAGCGAACAAGUACCGUGAGGGAAAGAUGAAAAGCACUUUGGAAAGAGAGUGAAACAGUACGUGAAAUUGUUGAAAGGGAAACGCUUGAAGUCAGUCGCGUCGUCCGAGACUCASCCUUGCCUCGGCUUGGUGUACUUCUCGGCUCGACGGGUCAGCGUCAAUUUUGCACCUCGGAUAAUGGCAAGGGAAAGGUGGCACCUUUGCGGGUGUGUUAUAGUCUCGUSUCGCRUGCGAGGGGWGAGAUUGAGGAACUCAGCGYGCGCCUUUGGUGUCGGGGCUUCGGCCUACGUAACGCGCUUAGGAUGCUGGCGYAAUGGCUUUAAACGACCCGUCUUGAAACACGGACCAAGGAGUCCAACAUGCCCGCGAGUGUUCGGGUGGAAAACCCGUGCGCGUAAUAAAAGUGAAAGUUGGGACCUCUGUCGUGGAGGGCACCGACGCCCGGACCAGACCUUCUGUGACGGAUCUGCGGUAGAGCGUGUAUGUUGGGACCCNAAAGAUGGUGAACUAUGCCUGAAUAGGGUGAA
This 789-nucleotide ribosomal RNA is filed under the name Lactarius aff. lignyotus WTU 00-223-16. RNAcentral describes it as "eukaryotic LSU rRNA". It matches the Rfam family "Eukaryotic large subunit ribosomal RNA", at positions 84 to 850 of the family's 3401-position model. Lineage: Eukaryota; Fungi; Basidiomycota; Agaricomycetes; Russulales; Russulaceae. The record is from RNAcentral.